Long non-coding RNA from Aethalodelphis obliquidens (Pacific white-sided dolphin), 6150 nucleotides. RefSeq lists it as uncharacterized. The record is from RefSeq and is a predicted model, not a curated record. Lineage: Eukaryota; Metazoa; Chordata; Mammalia; Artiodactyla; Delphinidae. The transcript is spliced from 3 exons.
UUGCCGCAACUGGAGAAAGUCCUCGCACAGAAACGAAGACCCAACACUGGCAAAAAAAAAAAAAAGUGGAAGUGUAGCAGUUACAUAAUAAGAGACUCCCCCCAUGAUCAUCAGGCUGAUGCUUCUGCUGCCAUGUACCCCCCAGUAUUCAAAGGCUACCCUGAACUAGUAUGAUGUGCUCCAAGUUGCCUCCUGAACCUGGUACACUCUUCCUGGAUCAUCCCUUUCCCCACUCUGGCUAACUCUCGUCUGUCCUUCAGGCCUCAGGUUGGUUGUCCCUUCUUCUGGGUCGCUUCCCCGAACCCCUGCUACCCUGGAUUAGGUACCUUUUCUCUUCAGUGGAUUCCCACGACCUUCAACCUGUAGUGGCAACUCUCCCCAUUGCCAUGUCUGUCUCCUAGACUAGGCUGCAAGCUUGUACAAGUAGGGUGGAAAGGCCUUCUCCAUGUCUUUAAUUUGCAUGAAUUCAACGGUGUGUCCAUAUUAAAAAAGAGGGAGGGAGAGAGAGAGUGAGAGGCUGUUAUUUCAACGGUAUGAGCAAUCCUGAGUGAUUUCCACUGGGCAUCAGUCAACCUACAGGUGUCCCCACAUGGUGUCUUAGUGAGAUGAACGCGAAGCUCGGCUUGAAGGUUCUGUUUGCUUUUGUUUUGUUUCACAUCACACGGCCGCUAAACGUAAUCCACAGGCACCAUCUAGUGAGGAAGCAGCAAUAUGGUCCAGCACUGGAGGAGGUGCUGGUGACUUUGGACUUAUUGAGACACUGGGUUUCAUUCUCUAACACAGUGCAUCCCUAAGGGAUUUUCAAGAUGAUCGAUGCUAGAUUUAAUUUUUGCUUUCUGUGUGAUUUUUAGAACGAACACCCCUGUAAAAUACAACUCCGCUCUACUAGCCAAGCUUGCCCCCCUUUCUCCUGGCAACUACAUCCUCACGCCAUUUAUAUGGCUAUUACAGGAGCUGUCAUGGUCUCACCUGACCCAAGAGAGGACAACAAAUAUCUUCUUCUCCAAGAUUACUGAGUUUGAGGUUCAGAUAAUUAAAGCCACGUUCUUUCUUGCAGGUGAAGCUGUAAGAUGAAAAACUCAAGGGCCCUAUUUUUCAGCACAUGACAAAAGCUAGUCCACUGAAAGGAACAGACAAGAUGGAGAGAGACGUGACCUGAAAACGGCAAAGGCCGGGUCAGCAGGUAUGUGCUCCUUACCACUGGAGGGUUGUAGGCAAAAGCCGGGUUGGGGAGGAUGGGGUACUACUCAUCGGAUAUACGCUUCCUUGGUGCUGAUGUAGGGCAUAUGAAGAAAGACGGCUGCCCUGGUGAGCUUCAAGCCUGAAUCUAUGUGAUUCCAAGGGGUAGGAGAAUAGGUGGGGGGCAGUAAAUGUCGGGGUCGGGGGAGGUGAAAAGGAAGAAUGGUGAGGAUGGGAGAGAACUGAGUUAGUUGGGACAGAGAUGACGUAGAGUGGAUUUAGACAGAAAUAUUUAGCCUGAGAUCUAACUUACUCUGCAAAGUUAAGCAAUGGAAAAAAUGUGCCAGAGAGAGGUUAAUGCCCCCAAAGUUACACAGCUGCGACAGUGGCAGAGCCCAGAUUUGAACUGCAAUCUCUGUGGCUCUAAGGUCCAUGCUUACCAAUCAUCUGGUCUAAUCCCUUCUUCUAACAGAUGAAGACAAAGAGGCUUUGAGACAUGAAGUGACUUGCCCAAGGACACCAAGAUAUUCCAGCAAAACGAAUCCUAGAACCACCAAAACCCAGUGAAAUACUCCUUCUAGGCCAUUCAUGGCCUCCUACACAAUCAGAGAGAAAGUGGAGGGGGAGGUACUGAAUCCCUACAAGGCUCUGAAAAGGCCCCUUCCCUCGUCUGUGCCCGUCACCUCCUUGACAAACUAGGGAGGAGGCUGACGAGGUGUCACAGGGAGUGUGAGGCACUUGGAAAAUAUAAAUCCCUUGAUGAGGAGAGUCCAAGCAAUUACUUACUUGUCAACUUAGGAGGGUAGGGCGGGAUUAAUCUGAGCUCAAAGAUCAGGGUGAAAACAAAGGUGUAAUUAUUACUAUAACAAUGAUAAUAAUUUAUUAACCUGCAGAUUCUAUACAAAUAUUACUCCACCCUUGAGUAGUUUACCUGUUGCAAUUGGGGCUAAGCCACUGGCGAAGGUGGGGAUGGGACGGAGAGAGGUAACCAGAAACGACGACGGCCAGAAGGUAAGAAAACAAACUGGAGAAAGCAAACCUGCUGAUGAGCGGGUGAUGGAGGCUGACGGUGGUCUGACAGGCAAGACAUCUGAUAGUAAAAUCAUAAGCUGUUUCUAGCAGGGAAGGUUUUUCAGUGGAAACCAAAUUUCUCAUUUUUUUGUAUCAGGAACUAAAAACAAGAAUGUUAAGUGAACUACCUAAGAUCACAUAGCUUGUCAGUGACAGAACUUGAACUAGAACUUGAGUCUUUUUACACUUAGUUCUGUGCUGGGCCAAGAAGAACCUACAUGCAAGCCGGAGAGUGCAGCACAUUGGGGAAGAGAAAGACCAGAAGACAAGGUGUUACGAUACAGGUCACAGGGGCUGGUUCACGCCGAUCAAAUGCCCGUCUCGGUUUUCCAUCAACACCCUCCCCCUGCCAACGCAGUUCAAAAAAUAUAACAGGGCCCAAAUCAAACUGGCUGAGAGUGGGAGAGAAAUUGUCGGCUCCCAGUAAGAUAACGUGCUGCUACCACUGGAGCUUUUUUAUUUUUCCAGAAGUGAGAAUCCAUAUAAAGGAAGAAGAAAAUAAAAGACAUCAUGAACCAAUGCCUUCUAGUAAUUUCCCUCGCCUCUCGAAUCAAGCACCCUCGGGUCUCCCAUCUACAUAUUCUCACAGCAACACGCACCUCUUCUUGGCAGCCCUGACCACCGAGGUGACUUUACCUGGAGUCUUGGGGCUACAUGAUUGACACCUGCUUCCCUUGCUAGACUGCAAGCCUGGUCAGGGCAGCAAUGCCCUCUGACUGUAUCACCAGUUUGUCUUUGCUUCCUGGUUUGGAAUUUGGCUGUAGUAGCUAAGAUGUGUCACCCAGACCCCCUGAAAGGAAGACCUUGCUGCCCAUCUGUGGGGAACACAGCCAGCAGACAGCCCUCCCGCUGUCAGCAACUUCAGGGUCUGGCUCAGCUGCAGAGAGCGGUACCUCUGAAGGCCAUACCUUUGGCGAGUGGGCAGUCCAUGUUUGGUGACUGAGUGAAGCAGGGGAUAGUGGAUUGACUGGUGGUCCCCAAAAGAUGUCCUAACCCCCAGAACUUGUGAAUGAGACCUUAUCUGGAGAAAGGGUCUCUGCAGAUGUAACUAAGUUAAGGAUCUCGAAAUGAGGUCAUUUGGGGUUUAGAAUGGGCCCUAAAUCCAGUGACAGAUCCUUAUGAGAAAAAGGCAAAAGUAGAUUUGAGACUGAGACACACAGAGGAGAAGUCACGUGAAGACAGAGGCAGAGACCGGAGGGAUGCUGCCACAAGUCAGUGGGACACCUGGAGCCACCAGAAGCUGGAAGAGGCCAAGAAGGAUGCUCUUGCAAGCUUAGGAGGGAGCACGGCCCUGCUGACACCCUGAUGCUGGACUUCUGGCCUCCAGAACUGCGAGGGAAGGAAAUUCUGUUGUUGCCAUUGGUUACAGCAUCCCUAGGAAAUCAACACACAGGGGGCAUAAAGGGCUGCAUCUGGGCCACUGCGGCAUGACUGUCACUAGUUCCGGCUCCAGAGUUCACCGCUGGGUCCCUGAGGUUCCGUCAGGCCUAAACCAUGUUUGACUUUUUCUUCUGCUUAAUCUGCUUUCUUCCUUCCUCCUCCAACAGAUUUUGAUCCCUAAUAAACACCUCACACUCUAAACUCGGGCUCCCUGACUGCUUCCAGAGAACCCAGCAUGACACGCUAUAAUAAGGCACAGGACUAAAGGCUGUGAUUUGCCCAAGUUCACACACCUGGCCAGCGGUGGAUGGAGCCAAGGAGAACGGGUGCUUUUGCCAGGGUGACGCUGCCUCCGUUGGCUGCUUUAGGUGGAGCAAGACAGCCGUGGCUAUUCUGCACAAAGCACAGCAGAUGAAGAUGCCCAGCCUGCCAGACGGUGUCCUGCGGUUUCCCCUGCUGUUCCAGACCAGUCACAGGUUACAGUCCUGUUAGCGAGAGCCACACGCCGAGCUGGAAUCCCAGCGUGGAGCCUCGGGCUGGGGGCAUGGCGUGUGACAGAAAGAGCGGAGGCUGAAUGGAGGCCCCCCCACCCCAUCUGCUGUUUCUCUGCUCCUUCCUCCUUCUCUUCCUAAAAACAUCGAGGAAAUGCCUGCAAGCUGAGCUCAGAAAGCAUGCGUUACAAGGCCCUGAGCUGGGCAGUGACUGUGCCACAGACAGUAUCCACGCUCGCUUCCACAAACCUGCCUUCCGCCUUCCCCAGCACCACCCCAAAUCGCACAGGACCCUCUGGAGUCUCAGCCCCUCUGUGGAACUCUCCCUUCUCUGAAUUCUCUCACAAUUCACCUCUGGCACAGAGUCUAACAGAGGCUGAACUUCACGCUCUAGUUUCAAACCAACUGUUGAAUGCGUGCAGGAUUGCGUGAGCACCUGAUCAGAGCUACGGCAGGUAUUGGUGACAGGGCGGGAAGGAAGACACAGCCCCUGCCUCGUGGAGCUUACACCCUAGCACGGAAGACAGAUUAAACAAAGAAUGGCAAGUAGAGUGUUAACACAGCGGAGGUAAGGGCUGCUUGGUGCAGAGAACAAAGGAAGUGAGCUGAAUCAAAGAAUUCAAGGGAAGCCUGCCAGCUUCUGAGUUUUCUUACUCUUUGUGCCUGGAAGUCUAGUCUUCCCUAUAAACUGCAUAUGCUUCAAGACCAAGAGCCAGAUGUGAUUUAGCCCUAAUGUCCUUCGUGAGAAAUCAUCAGAAAACACCGGCGAGUUCGAAUGCAGCUAAUGUGAGUGGUGCCUGUAGGGUCACAUGCUGUCCCAUGUUCCACCCACGGCACCCGAGGGGACUUAGGACACUCCUGGGGCUUCACAAGGAAGAAAAUAUAUACAAAUUGCAUAGGAUUUGCUGCCCCAGUUCCUUGGCCUUGCUUCUUGCUUAGUUUCCUCUCUCUGAGCUGCCCUGGCAUUGGCCUAGAAGGAAUCCUAACCCCCAGUAAAAAUAAAAUGUGGAUCUUACACAAACCUGCGUGAAGGUCUCUCAACAGAAAAGUGCCAGGACCCCGAACCCAGCGGCCUGAGCAGAAAGUGGAAAUGCCGACUUUCUUCAUGAAAAGCCCACAAUUAAUUAACUUUAACAGAAUUAACUUCAUUCAAUGGUUAUGACAAUUAUACUUUGUGCUCAGAAGCACAUAGGCCCUGGGACGGUACACAGGAGGCUGGGAUGUGGUGAGGCCCUCAAGGAGCUUACAGUGCGUCAGGGAGGGAAUCCAUUCAGAGAUAAUGAUAAUAAUGACAGUUUCCAGUGAGCGGACGAUGCCCAGGGCCUGGUGUCUAUUAGUUUCUCCCUCGCAACCUCUAGAUGAGGUUCGAGUGUUCCCAUUUUUAGGAUGAGGAAACUGAGGCUCUGAGAUUUUAAUUUUCCCAAAGUUAGAGCAGGCUAGUUACAGAGCCAGGAUCUGAACCCAGCUACUCUAUUUAACUCCAAGGUCUGUUUUUUUCUUUUUCACUAAUCUAUGCUGGACACAUCAAAAUGAAUCUUUUUCACUUUAUAAAGCAGAAUGAUAUAAGUGCUCCACAAGAGACACAUAAGUUAUCAUAAGAGUCAGAGGGGUCAGACAGCUUCAAGGGUGGGGAAGGUCUCAGAAAGGCGGCAAUUUUUAGAUAUUAAUUUUUGUUUUUCUCUUUUCGAUUCAGAAGGAUCCUUACUGUUAACUAGUCCAGCAUUUCCUAUGUGUAAUCUGUAGGGCAAGAUAUUCCUUUAAAGAGUGUGUGUGUGUGUGUGUGUGUGUGUGUGUGUGUGUGUGUGUUCAAGCACGUGUGUAGUUUUAAAUCCUGGGCAAGUUUGCAACUCAUGUCCCCUUCUGGGUAGCUCACAAUGCCCAUUAGCAAAUUAAAGGCUCUGAGAAGGUCCGCAGUUAGGAUUUCCCAAACUUACUUGACCAUGCCACCCUCUUUUGAAAAAAACCUAUGAACAUCCCAAGGAAUUCUUUUAUUUUCCUAAUUUUUAAUGUGAACCAUUUUUUAAAGUCU